CGGGUGAGUAACGCGUGGGUAACCUGCCUUAUACAGGGGGAUAACAGCCAGAAAUGACUGCUAAUACCGCAUAAGCGCACAGAGCUGCAUGGCUCGGUGUGAAAAACUCCGGUGGUAUAAGAUGGACCCGCGUUGGAUUAGCUAGUUGGUGAGGUAACGGCCCACCAAGGCGACGAUCCAUAGCCGGCCUGAGAGGGUGAACGGCCACAUUGGGACUGAGACACGGCCCAA
Molecule: ribosomal RNA, 231 nt
Filed under: uncultured bacterium
Lineage: Bacteria
Description: partial 16S ribosomal RNA
Rfam family: Bacterial small subunit ribosomal RNA
Source: RNAcentral